Molecule: long non-coding RNA, 646 nt
Filed under: Capra hircus (goat)
Lineage: Eukaryota; Metazoa; Chordata; Mammalia; Artiodactyla; Bovidae
Description: lncRNA (ENSCHIG00000005863.1)
Source: RNAcentral
AUUAGCACGGCUUCUUCUACUUCAAACAUCGCGCGCUACACUCUAACAUUACAUACAUGUAAAAAUACAAAGUGUGAGACAAAUAAUGUGUUUAUACGGAUAUCUUAAGUGGUCUGCAGUAGUUCUGAUACCCCCUGUACUUAUUAACGGAAACUAAUUCAUUGUAGAGUACUCGCGCUUAAAAAAAAUGUUAAAUACAGUUAAUGCAAUAUUAAUCGCCCUUUGGUGAUAUAAAAUGCAAUAUUUUCAGGCAGCUAUCGAGCUUUUCUAGAAGAGCUGAUGAAAAGAGUCACAGCUGAAUAGUGGAGAGAAAAAGCCCGGUAUUUAUUGCUUUUGUUUGGCUUUUGGCUACAGAGACAGGAACCUUCUAAUGGGGUGUUUAGAUGGGAUUUACUUUACUUCACCACUGAAUUUCUACUUCCGCAACCAGGCAGACAUUGAAUAUAUCUCUGUCUCUCUCCAUCUAGAGAGUGAGAGAAGAAACAAGAAAAAAAAAGCUAUGAAAUGCAUGAUUCAGGGGAUAGGUGCAUCCUUAGAAGCACAGGUGUUGUCAUGCCAUGAAGCCUUCCGUGAUCUUCUGACCAGGAAGAAACCUAUUUGUGAAUUCUGAGACACAUUUUCCCUUUUUUUAGUCUCUUGGCCUUCU